Long non-coding RNA from Pipistrellus kuhlii (Kuhl's pipistrelle), 803 nucleotides. RefSeq lists it as uncharacterized. NCBI's taxonomy places the organism in Eukaryota, Metazoa, Chordata, Mammalia, Chiroptera, Vespertilionidae. The record is from RefSeq and is a predicted model, not a curated record. The transcript is spliced from 3 exons.
GCCAGGACGACCCCACCACAGAGAAUGACCCGGCUCGAGUGUCAACAGCCCUCGCUCCGAGGGCAUCUGGUCAAGUCCUCUGAGGUCCAGCGCCGAUACUGGCUCGUUAACGAGUCCUGGAAACAAUGGGCCCAGCAUGAAGAGUUCCUCUCUGCCAGGCCUGGGGCACGCAUGGCAGCGGUGAGAACACGUGAGCAGGACAGAGACAAGGAAAAGGCUGCAGCGUGGAUGACAUACUACCCAGGACUGCGUCUGGCCUAACAAUGAUGUCCUCAAUGCCUUCCCCUGGGCUGGGGCCACUGCAGGCCUCAAUGAAUACUUGUGGAAUAAAUGACAAAUGAACAAAAGACCUCGGGAGCUUUUUAAACAUGGAGAUUUCUAGGUCCCGGUCAAGAUCUGCUGGCUCAGAAUCUCUCAGGGUGAAACUCAAGAAUGCGUAUUUUGUUCAAAAGCUUUCUGGCAAUCCCAGUAAUUGCCAGGAUUGGGAAGCUAGCUUGUGGGGAAGAGGAGUCCCAGCUACAGAAGGCGGUGGCCACAGCUGAAGGCAUCUCAGAGCAGGGCCGUAAGGAGCGGUCACCAACUCGGGCAGGUCACCACUCUCCUCAUUGUUUUAGGUUAAAAGAGUCUAACAGCAUUCUUUGGAGUGUGGAUCUUGAAUUAUUUCCUUCAGAACCACCUGAGUGAGAGGAAGCCUUUUUUAAAAAAUAUAUAUUUUAUUGAUUUCAGAGAGGAAGGGAGAGGGAGAGAGGGAAAGAAACAUCAUUGAUAAGAAAGAAUCAUUGAUCGGCUGCAUCCUGCACGCA